UCCUCUCUCAUUUGACUCACUCUUACAGGGGUAAAAUGGUAACUUGAAUACUAGAUAUUUGUUUCCAAACACACUCCAAGAUUCUAGAACGAUCUGCCAUGUGAAACCAUCACCAAAACUCCGGCAAUAGCUAUCCGAAAUCAAACCAUCGCCUCCUCUGUUUCCCACCGAAGCUCUAUCAGAAAAACCCAGCAACUAAUUCAUCGUUGAUGCCGCCGUGAAUCACCACUGACCACCACCAAAAUUCAUCGUUGAAGGCUAAUGAGCCCAAGGUGUUCGGUGAUAUGCCUGAGACAACUAAAUUAUUUGGGUGAAUUUGGCACAGUAUAAGCAAAAUUCAAAAGUUAAUUAAGAAGACGAGGAACCAAAAUACCUACGUUGGCUACCCUUUUUUUCCUCGCAUUACUGAGGUAACAACAUGCUGGUUUCAAGGGUGCUGACAAAAGUGUUGCUUGUUCUCCGUCUGCCGAAGUUGAAUGGAAGAAAUUGUAUGGAAUCAGAGGAGAAUUUAGAGCACCAGUGCAAAUACUGGCCCUAAUCGAGAAAGAAUAACUAAGAAAAGCGGGGAACCAAAAAACAUGAAGGGUGGCCUUCUUUCCUCUUAUCCAUAGGGGAAUCAAGACAAAUGCUAUGACAUCAGAUUACCACCAUUUUGCCCUUUAGGUACCAUGAAAAUAAGGGGAAAUGUGAUAUAGAUGCAGCUUUUCAAGAGUAAUAUGCCUUAUUGUGUCGAGGUAAUUUGGUUGGCAAAACCUUUCUAUUUUAUGCCUUUUAGGGUUAAUGGAGUCCAAAUGGAAUAACAAGAACUAUUGACGAAAAAAGAGAAUACUUUAGUUGUCCCAAAGGGAGUACAAGGCAUGUACGCCAGAUACUUUCUUGCUACAUCAGUUAAUUCUCUCUAUGAGAUCUUAUUAAAUGUAUUGUGAAGGGUUCUUAGAGGCCAAAAUAGUUGUCAAACUCGUCAGGGAGGAUUCCAAAUUUUUAUGUGGGCAUACGUAAUUGGUGUAUAUUUUACUACUAUAUAUAAGGGAGGAUUCCAAAUUUUUAUAGUCCUCAAGGAUUUUAAUCCAAUGGUGUUCCUACACAUGGCUUUGUUUUGUCUUUUCCUUGCCUAUUAUCAAUUUUUUGGACUCAUUCUUUAUCUUAAGUAAAUUUUUAUGUGGGCAUAUGUAAUUGGUGUAUAUUGAAUUGUAAUAACUUUUUGUGAAUCUCUUCUUGCUCUUUACUUCCUUCGGUUCAUAUUA
This is a long non-coding RNA of Lycium barbarum (goji berry), 1244 nucleotides long. RefSeq lists it as uncharacterized. Lineage: Eukaryota; Viridiplantae; Streptophyta; Magnoliopsida; Solanales; Solanaceae. The transcript has 6 exons. The record is from RefSeq and is a predicted model, not a curated record.